Long non-coding RNA from Cavia porcellus (domestic guinea pig), 1671 nucleotides. RefSeq lists it as uncharacterized. The transcript is spliced from 4 exons. NCBI's taxonomy places the organism in Eukaryota, Metazoa, Chordata, Mammalia, Rodentia, Caviidae. The record is from RefSeq and is a predicted model, not a curated record.
UCUAUCACAUUCUCUUUUAACUGGUAACGUCUUUUAAUGUCUCACUCUGUGAAAUCCCUGUCAGCAUAACAGGAGAUUCCAGGGAUCUGAAAUUAGAUUUCCCGAGUUGGAAUCUAUUAACACACUUGAGCUACACAAUUUGGGAUCAUACAAGGCAGAAGCAACUUUGGGAAUAAAACACAUUGCAGAAGAUUCCAAAAUCUGUGGUUUUAAACAUGAACCACUUAGAAUUUUAUUUGACAUAAUCGGAUUUCCGGAUCUCUACAUCUUCUCUUGCAUCACAGUACUAGUUACGGAUGGUUGGGCAGCACAACCUGAAUGGAUGGGAAUGUCCUCAGGACUCCACCCAGAAUGGAACUCAUUGUUGGCCUUCAGAAUGAGGAAAACAAUUUUAAAACUUGUUUGAAACUGCAAAUGAUCCAAAUGGCCAAAGCCAUCUGAACAAAAAAGAAUAAAGUAGGAGCAUUACAAUACAUGACUUCAAAAUAUGCUAUAAAGCUGUGGUAACAAAAACAGCAUUGUUUAAUACUGGUUUAGAAAAAGACAUAUUGACCAAAUACACAAUAUAAAUCCUAAAUAGAAUGUGUACCCAUGUUUAUAGCAGCACAAUUUGUAAAAGCCAGAUCUUGAAAGCCAUCAACUGAGGAAUAGAUAAAAAAGAUGUGGUAUUUUUAUACAAUGGAGUAUUACUCUGCCAUAAAAAAUGAUCACAUUGAGAUAUUCAUAAGUAAAUGGAUGCAACUUGAGACCUUCUCAUCAAUGAAAUAAAUCAAACUCACCUGUGUAAAUACCAUAUAGUCUCCCUAGUGUAAGAAAUGGUAAGAGUACAUAAGAUACAAAAAAGCUCAAUAAACACAAUAAAAGGACAAGAAUUUGCUUAAGGAGGAAAGAAUAAUAUCUCAGGGGAAAUGAGGGGAACAAAAGAAAAGGAAAAGAAAAAAAAAUAUAAAAUUAUAUAAACACACUUAGUAUAGCCAAGAUGAUUGUGCUACAAACUCUAUUAGUUCUUGGAACAAAAUAGCUAACAUUCAUAGGACUGGAACACUUGUGCAUAUUAUUGUAUGGUGAUCUGAGGAAUUCUUGAAGAUCAUUAUGUAAAAUAGCAGCCCUAGUUAGGCUCAUAGCUCUUUGUUUUGAAAGCCUAUAUUGUCAGUGUUCUGGGCUCUUUGCUACUGUUGUUUAAAUGUCAUUUUGUUUCAUGUUUUUCUAGGAAUUUGUUUUGUUUUGUCUUUUUUCCUCUAAUACAGAAAGAAUAGGUACGCAUGUAGCGAAUCAUGCCUGCGUAGAACUUCUAAACAGUUUAUAGGAAUCAAUUAUAUAAAGAUCAAUAAAAUGAACAGCUACUUUGAAGAAAAAGAGACACUAAGGUACCCGUUGCUGAUUCUGUAGCAUCAUGAUGUGAAAUCCAGCAACACUAUUAUUCUUUGUUCAGAGUGAUUUUAAUUUGGUUUAAUUUCAACAUAGGUAAAGUUAUGGACAGUUAUUUUGAAGAGAAUGAGAGACAUUAUGGCAGCCAUUGUUGACUUCUCUAUAUUCUGGUCUUGAAGACCUAAAAUGCCUUUAUCAUCCUGUUGGGAUCAGUUCUAUAUUAUAUUUUGCAUGAAUUCAUUGUAUGCAAAGAUAUGGACAACUAUGUGGAAUAAAACGAGACAAUGUGAUAGACAGUGAAAA